This 253-nucleotide ribosomal RNA is filed under the name uncultured bacterium. Its description in RNAcentral is "partial 16S ribosomal RNA". It matches the Rfam family "Bacterial small subunit ribosomal RNA", at positions 524 to 776 of the family's 1533-position model. The record is from RNAcentral.
UACGAACUGUGCGAACGUUAUUCGGAAUCACUGGGCUUAAAGGGUGCGUAGGUGGCUCGUCAAGUCAGGUGUGAAAUCCCCCGGCUCAACCGGGGAACAGCGCUUGAAACUAGCGGGCUGGAGCGAGGUAGGGGUCUGUGGAACUUCCGGUGGAGCGGUGAAAUGUGUAGAUAUCGGAAGGAACGCCGGUGGCGAAAGCGGCAGACUGGGCCUUGUCUGACACUGAGGCACGAAAGCUAGGGGAGUGAACGGG